UUUUCUUCUGCGUGUUACUACAUCUUUCUCCAGUGGCACUAGUGAAGAAUUGUGUUUUUCCUGUUGCUCCCCAGAGGGUUUUUGAUUUAGAUUUCCAGUUGUUGGACAUCGUUGAACUUUGGACUUUGUAAAAUUUUUCCCUGCAUCCUGCCAUAAUCCUCUCAAUUGGUCUAUACUUCUUGGACAAAAAAUUGAAAUGCCUCCAUUAUGAAAAAAAAUCUUGUCCUCUGCCCACACAGGAGUGUGUAGACAGGCCCAUGGGCUUACAGUUUUGCAAGCCUUGCAGCCCGUGCUUACAAAGUGAGGAGGAAAGCAGGGCGGCUGGCGGCUGCUCGUGUGUGUGUGACGACUGGAGAUAUUGCUCUGACCGCUGCUGUGACAUCUGCUGCCAGAUGUGUGUGAACGUAUGCUCUGGCGUGUGUUCAGGAGACUGCAGCUACACCUUCUGUACCCUCUGCCUCGGCCUGGCGCAGAACUGUGUCUCUGUUAUUCACAACCAACAAGCUGAAACAUCAGAGGCACAACAAGCUAUGAUGUCUCCUGUGCUGCAAGCAAAUGGAACAUGUGACUAACCCCAAAAUAUGCAUUGAUUUAAAGCCCUGUAACUACACCAGGACUGGGUAGAGAAAGUGUAAGAUACAGAAGGCCAAUCAUACUGCAAGAACAGUUUGAUUAGCUGGGACAAGAUACAAGGACGAGGGACACGAGUGAAGGCACCACCGUGCUGUCAGAAGAUAGGUGGUAUUGAGUCCCCACGUGUGAGGAGGGACCUGUUUUAUAAAGUGUUACGUCCCGGCUCCGAGGACGCAACAAAAAACGGGAGAGGAGACGAAGUAUACAAAAUGGCUGUGGAGCUGGAGCAAGCUACGGGCUGCUGUCUAAUGAGGACAGGGUUGAGGAGCACUGAGACCUCGAUAACCAGUAAAGAAAAAGCUGUGUGCAGAGUAAAACUUUAACAAUGGUCCCUACAAUAGGCUCAAGCUUAUCGCUGCUAUCACAGCUGGACAAAGCUUCCCAGAACAAAAGAAGCCUCUUCUGAGCCACACCCAUGAGGGACUACAGACUGUACUCUACAUAACACUUGUGUCACCACUUUUCCAGCCAAAUGCUGCAACUCAUUUCCUGUGGAUGGAUUUAUUUCUAUUUGUGUCUGGAUGUUUGCUUACAAAAAGGACACUUACAAUAUCCAUACUUUUCAGAGACAAACAGGGUUCCCUGAUAUCAACUGAGCUGGAGUGUUGUAUUUUUUAGAAUCUGGGAGAUUAAACUGAAGCGUAGAAAUGGCCUCUUCCUUGCACACAGGCAGUACUUCAAAGCACUCAUUAGAUGUCUGCAAGAUUGUUUUCACUUUCAGGCAAACAAAAAUAUAAUGUGGUUGCACAAAGUGCAUGAUAUGAUAUUUCUUUGUGAGUAAAGGCUGUCUGAGGACACAAGGUGUUAUUUGCUCACAUGGAAUCAGACCUUUUUUAUUAACCUCUAUGAAAUUGCUAGUUUAUGGAAACGUUUAUGGUAGAAUGAUCUGUGACCCAGCAUCAAAAUAAGAUUAGACUAAGGUCUAGUGAGGAUAAAAGUCUUGCACAACAUAGUCUGAUGAGCUGAAUUGUGUCCCCAGCUGUACCCAUCUAUGCUCUUGUUUUCUCCCCCUCACAGUCCCUGUGGACUCUGCACCGCAUUCAGUCAAACUGGAGCAUGUAUCCCUCUCAAACCCAGAGGAUAUGCUGCGUGGCCUAGUUUGCUCCUUGAACUGACCUUAUCCUUCAGAAAGUUUGUUUUGUAAUAUCCGCAGUGAGAGUCUGGAACUAUUUGCGUGUACUCCACUCACCUUGAAUGAUCGAUCGUCUCUGAGUGUGGUUUCAUUUUGUCUUUUUUCUUCCUCUUUGCUUGAAAUCUCCUGAUAGAUGGAAAUUGAAAUUGCGAAGUCUUAAUUUAAUACCUGGAGUCUAGAAGGAGCUCUGAUGUUAACUGAAAUAUUGCUCCCAAAUGUUGCUUUGCGAUCAAUAAA
Notolabrus celidotus (New Zealand spotty) is the source of this 2002-nucleotide long non-coding RNA. RefSeq lists it as uncharacterized. The transcript has 7 exons. The record is from RefSeq and is a predicted model, not a curated record. NCBI's taxonomy places the organism in Eukaryota, Metazoa, Chordata, Actinopteri, Labriformes, Labridae.